Long non-coding RNA from Monodelphis domestica (gray short-tailed opossum), 1637 nucleotides. The record is from Ensembl. Lineage: Eukaryota; Metazoa; Chordata; Mammalia; Didelphimorphia; Didelphidae.
CAGAAGGAAGGGCAGCUAUAUGAUGCCAUAGUAGACAAGUGGGACAGAGGCUGGCACUUUUUCUUUAGUGUAAAGGAUGUAAAAGAGAAAAGGUUUGGGAAUGGUAAAGGGAACAAGAUCUAGGAGAAGACAGCUGAUGUUUAGGGUUGACUCAGAGAGGAGAGGAGACUGAGAGACCAACCGCUCUUCCAGCCAGAAUCUUCUGCUCUUCCAGAGUCCAGUCUCCUGGGGGCCCCCUAUGAGGAGAUCAGUUCCACACACUCUUCAGCCUGGCACGUUUUCUUUAGUGCCAGCCUCUCUCACAAGAACACUGGGCUAGGAAUCAUCUUCCUGAGUUCAAAUAUGGUAUGGAAGUAAACACUUACUGUGUGACCCAAGGUAAGUUAGUGAACUCUGCUUGCCUCAGUUUCCUCAUCUGUAAAAUGAGCUGGAGAAGGAAAUGGCAAACCACUCCAAGAUCUCUGCCAAGAAAAUCUCAAAUGGGAUCACAGAGAGUUGGACUGAAACAACUGAAAAUGACAGUUCAGAAGUUUGAAGUUGUGUUGAGAGACAUUCAACAAUUGUUUCAAACAACAAAUGUACUUUGCCAAUUCAGGGAAACUUGUCAAGGUGGUAGACCAGAGCCUAAUUUGAAGGGGAAGUGCAGCCCACCUCUCUCUCCUCUCGGGAAAUUACGGAGGAAACGUCCGCUGAUAUUGGGGAAAGGGCAGGAAACCUGAGCACAAUAGGCUGCAGCUGGGAAGCAGGCUAAGUUCUAAAGACACAAAGAAAGCUGAAAGCAUCACCCCUCAAAUCUGGCCCAGAUGCUUCCUGGCUGUGCCACCCUGGGCAAGUCACUUAACUCCCCACAACUAGCCCUUCCUGCCCUUCUGCCUUGGAACCAAUGCCCAGUGUGGCUUCUAAGCCUUCUGGAAGGUAAGGAGUUUUAAAAGAAUGGACUGCCUUGUCCCUGCCUGUAAGGUAGCUCAUCCGGGUGGGGGGACCACGCGCAAAUACCUUUCUGUGGAUAAGAUCUUUAAGAGCAUGUAGAAGAGGAUCUCAGAGGGAAGGAUGGAGGGGAGGCUGCGAAAGGCCUUUUUGUGUCUGGAAGGAAGCUAGGAAAGUCAGGAGUAAAUUGGGUAAGUUGGCAUGGAAGGAGCCAGGAAGGGCACAGGUAGGUGUUUGGGUAAGAAAGACUCUUGCCCUCUCCAUGCAGAGCCCCAAGAUGCUCUACCUCUGCACCCCCACUUUCCUACUUUGGGGGGCAGGUGUCCUGGAGAAAGCUGCAUCCUUGGGCAUGAGAAGGACGAGGCACCGGGAGUCCUGGAGCUAAAGUCUGUCCUGGGACCUGCCAGAGGCUGGACGGUGAGGGGCUAAGGCUCGAGCCCCCUGCCCCCCCGCUCGGACGAGAGGCAGGAAAGGGGGAGCAAGUGUGAUCUACCGCCUGACUCUGGCAUCUUCUGAGGCAAACGUGGGGGGCCGAUGCUCUGUGGCAAGUUGGAGCCUGUUCUCCCUGUGGACACAGAAGUGGAGCACGCCGGAUGCUGGGCUCAGUGUUCAAUUUUUGUUUUUUACAAAUAUUAUCUCCUUUUAUCCUCUCCCUUCCUCCUGAUGUGCUGAUCUAUAUGUGGUAACAGCAAUAAUAAAAAUGAUAGCAA